CUAGCUGUAAACGAUGGAUACUAGGCGUUGAGAGUAUCGACCCUCUCAGUGUCGUAGCUAACGCGUUAAGUAUCCCGCCUGGGGAGUACGCGCGCAAGCGUGAAACUCAAAGGAAUUGACGGGGGCCCGCACAAGCGGUGGAGGUAUGUGGUUUAAUUCGAUGCAACGCGAAGAACCUUACCAGGGCUUGACAUGUCCGGAACCCUGCCCAAAGGCGGGGGUGCCUACGGGAACCGGAACACAGGUGGUGC
This 251-nucleotide ribosomal RNA is filed under the name uncultured Chroococcidiopsis sp. Its description in RNAcentral is "partial 16S ribosomal RNA". It matches the Rfam family "Bacterial small subunit ribosomal RNA", at positions 796 to 1044 of the family's 1533-position model. Lineage: Bacteria; Bacillati; Cyanobacteriota; Cyanophyceae; Chroococcidiopsidales; Chroococcidiopsidaceae. The record is from RNAcentral.